This 258-nucleotide ribosomal RNA is filed under the name uncultured bacterium. RNAcentral's name for it is "partial 16S ribosomal RNA". It matches the Rfam family "Bacterial small subunit ribosomal RNA", at positions 96 to 354 of the family's 1533-position model. The record is from RNAcentral.
UGGCGGACGGGUGAGUAACGCGUGGGCAACCUGCCCCAUACAGGGGGAUAACAGUUAGAAAUGACUGCUAACACCGCAUAAGCGCACAGGGCCGCAUGGCCCGGUGUGAAAAACUCCGGUGGUUUGGGAUGGGCCCGCGUCUGAUUAGCCAGUUGGCGGGGUAACGGCCCACCAAAGCGACGAUCAGUAGCCGACCUGAGAGGGUGACCGGCCACAUUGGGACUGAGACACGGCCUAAACUCCUACGGGAGGCAGCAG